RNAcentral lists this ribosomal RNA (332 nucleotides) under uncultured bacterium. RNAcentral describes it as "bacterial SSU rRNA". It matches the Rfam family "Bacterial small subunit ribosomal RNA", at positions 568 to 898 of the family's 1533-position model. The record is from RNAcentral.
CGUGUAGGCGGUCAUGUAAGUCAGAUGUGAAAGCCUUCCGCUUAACGGAAGAAGUGCAUUUGAAACUGCAUGACUAGAGUACGGGAGAGGAGAGUGGAAUUCCCGGUGUAGAGGUGAAAUUCGUAGAUAUCGGGAGGAACACCAGUGGCGAAGGCGGCUCUCUGGAUCGAUACUGACGCUGAGACGCGAAAGCGUGGGGAGCAAACAGGAUUAGAUACCCUGGUAGUCCACGCUGUAAACGAUGGGCACUAGGUGUAGGAGGUAUUGACCCCUUCUGUGCCGAAGCUAACGCAUUAAGUGCCCCGCCUGGGGAGUACGGCCGCAAGGUUAAA